Molecule: ribosomal RNA, 425 nt
Filed under: uncultured bacterium
Lineage: Bacteria
Description: partial 16S ribosomal RNA
Rfam family: Bacterial small subunit ribosomal RNA
Source: RNAcentral
GUGGGGAAUCUUAGACAAUGGGCGCAAGCCUGAUCUAGCCAUGCCGCGUGAGUGAUGAAGGCCCUAGGGUUGUAAAGCUCUUUCAGCUGGGAAGAUAAUGACGGUACCAGCAGAAGAAGCCCCGGCUAACUCCGUGCCAGCAGCCGCGGUAAUACGGAGGGGGCUAGCGUUGCUCGGAAUUACUGGGCGUAAAGGGCGCGUAGGCGGACAGUUAAGUUGGGGGUGAAAGCCCGGGGCUCAACCUCGGAACUGCCUUCAAUACUGGCUGUCUUGAGUAUGAGAGAGGUGUGUGGAACUCCGAGUGUAGAGGUGAAAUUCGUAGAUAUAGGAAGGAACACCAGUGGCGAAGGCGACUACCUGGACUGAUACUGACACUGAGGUGCGAAAGCGUGGGGAGCAAACAGGAUUAGAUACCCCGGUAGUCC